AGUGAACGCUGGCGGCGUGCCUAACACAUGCAAGUCGCGCGGAAUUUGUUGCGAUUACAUCAAGACAAGUUUAGCGGCAAACGGGUGAGUAAUACAUGGGUGAUCUUCCUUUGGGAGGGAAAUAACCCCGAGAAAUCGGGGCUAAUGUCCCGUAAGACCACGACUCUUCCUCAGAAGAGACGGGGUCAAAGCUUCGCAAGGAGCGCCUGAAGAUGAGCCCGUGGCCUAUCAGCUAGUUGGUGGGGUAAUGGCCCACCAAGGCUAAGACGGGUAUCCGACCUGAAAGGGUGACCGGACACACUGGAACUGAGACACGGUCCAGACUCCUACGGGAGGCAGCAGUGGGGAAUUUGGACAAUGGGGGCAACCCUGAUCCAGCAACGCCGCGUGAAGGAUGAAGGUCUUCGGAUCGUAAACUUUCUUUUGUAGGGGACGAUGACUCCGUGAAGAACGGAGUGUGACGGUACUCUACGAAUAAGCCACGGCUAACUUCGUGCC
RNAcentral lists this ribosomal RNA (498 nucleotides) under uncultured bacterium. Its description in RNAcentral is "bacterial SSU rRNA". It matches the Rfam family "Bacterial small subunit ribosomal RNA", at positions 29 to 509 of the family's 1533-position model. The record is from RNAcentral.